AGUGAACGCUGGCGGUAGGCCUAACACAUGCAAGUCGAACGGCAGCACAGUAAGGGCUUGCUCUUACGGGUGGCGAGUGGCGGACGGGUGAGGAAUACAUCGGAAUCUACUUUUUCGUGGGGGAUAACGUAGGGAAACUUACGCUAAUACCGCAUACGACCUACGGGUGAAAGCAGGGGAUCUUCGGACCUUGCGCGAUUGAAUGAGCCGAUGUCGGAUUAGCUAGUUGGCGGGGUAAAGGCCCACCAAGGCGACGAUCCGUAGCUGGUCUGAGAGGAUGAUCAGCCACACUGGAACUGAGACACGGUCCAGACUCCUACGGGAGGCAGCAGCGGGGAAUAUUGGACAAUGGGCGCAAGCCUGAUCCAGCCAUACCGCAUGGGUGAAGAAGGCCUUCGGGUUGUAAAGCCCUUUUGUUGGGAAAGAAAAGCAGCAGGUUAAUACCCCGCUGUUCUGACGGUACCCAAAGAAUAAGCACCGGCUAACUUCGUG
Molecule: ribosomal RNA, 492 nt
Filed under: uncultured bacterium
Lineage: Bacteria
Description: partial 16S ribosomal RNA
Rfam family: Bacterial small subunit ribosomal RNA
Source: RNAcentral